AUGAUUUGUUCAAGGAAUACUAGAUUAUCCUCCCCGCAGAAAGGACUAUCAGAGGUUUCAUGUUGCAUUGCUUCUAGAUGGCAAGUCCGACCAAUUGUUGAGAUUUAUGUGAAUAACCAUUCUGGUAAGAAGUUCACGCAGAGUGUGACAAAAGGGUUGGGUCAAAAUAAAGUACAUGUAUUACUAAAAUCCAUCCGUCUCAUCUCAUGCAUGCAUAACCAGGUCGAUGGUAAUUUGUCUACUACUCUACUUACUGCAGUUCACGAUAAUUUGUCUACUACUCUACUUAAGCUUGAGGGUGAAGUAGAUGAUAAGUUGCAUUAUUAA
This 327-nucleotide ribosomal RNA is filed under the name Triticum aestivum (bread wheat). RNAcentral describes it as "partial small subunit ribosomal RNA". Lineage: Eukaryota; Viridiplantae; Streptophyta; Magnoliopsida; Poales; Poaceae. The record is from RNAcentral.